Molecule: ribosomal RNA, 401 nt
Filed under: uncultured bacterium
Lineage: Bacteria
Description: partial 16S ribosomal RNA
Rfam family: Bacterial small subunit ribosomal RNA
Source: RNAcentral
CCUACGGGAGGCAGCAGUGGGGAAUAUUGCGCAAUGGGCGAAAGCCUGACGCAGCGACGCCGCGUGAGGGAUGAAGGUCUUCGGAUCGUAAACCUCUGUCAGCAGGGAAGAACGGUCACUGUGCUAAUCAGCAGUGAAUUGACGGUACCUGCAAAGGAAGCUCCGGCUAACUCCGUGCCAGCAGCCGCGGUAAUACGGAGGGUGCGAGCGUUGUCGGGAAUUACUGGGGGUAAAGGGAUCGUAGGCGGUUGUGAAAGUUAAAGGUUAAAUCUACCGGCUUAACUGGUAGCUGCGUUUAAAACUGGUAGUCUUGAGUGUGGUAGAGGCAGGUGGAAUUCCUGGUGUAGCGGUUAAAUGCGUAGAUAUCAGGAGGAACAUCAGUGGCGAAGGCGGCCUUCUGG